Molecule: transfer RNA, 84 nt
Filed under: bacterium
Lineage: Bacteria
Description: tRNA-Leu
Rfam family: tRNA
About the family: Transfer RNA (tRNA) molecules are approximately 80 nucleotides in length. Their secondary structure includes four short double-helical elements and three loops (D, anti-codon, and T loops).
Source: RNAcentral
GCCAAGGUGGCGAAAUGGUAUACGCGCACGCUUUAGGAGCGUGUGGGGCGACCCAUGGAGGUUCAAGUCCUCUCCUUGGCACAA